This is a long non-coding RNA of Corythoichthys intestinalis (scribbled pipefish), 3916 nucleotides long. RefSeq lists it as uncharacterized. The transcript has 3 exons. The record is from RefSeq and is a predicted model, not a curated record. Lineage: Eukaryota; Metazoa; Chordata; Actinopteri; Syngnathiformes; Syngnathidae.
GACCCCCUAAAGAUUUAAAAGCGGUGUCAAUCAACUAGUUGUCAGUAAACAUAUUAUCACAAAUCUUAUCAAAAUAUUUUAUAAAAGUUGAAAAGUAACCUUGUGUUGCUUUAACUUUGCUAUACUCUUCAUUACAAGUGAACAAAUCUAAAAACCAAGAAACGUAUGUUGUACUAAAAAAAAAAAAAAUUGUACAAAAAAAAAUAAAAAUCCUAUGUUUUACCUUUUGUUAACCAGUGUGACUAUAACAGGCCUCCUGGUAGGAAGUCGCAUUGACGACAUUGAAUAUAUCCCUCUUUACAAAAGAAAGAAACUUCUUCAGAGGGCAGAAAGGCUGACUGGGGCGACGGUCAAGAGGGCUACAGAAUACAGUGUGAUACGUUACAUCCUCUCCAUUGUACAGUAGCCUGAUAAAAAAUCCUCCAUCUUUUGCUUUUGACCUUUCACCUUUGCCAGCCCUCUGCUCCUGCUGUCCUUGCUUCACUGAGGGGCUUUUCCACAGUUCAAAUACCAGUCUUGCUGCAAAAGGUGGGAACCUGGCCUCCUCCAGUCCCAGUGCACUCAGCAAAGGUGCCAUGGUUACAUCAUGAGCAGAGGAGACCGUGAACACCUCUUCGCCUCCAGCUCUUGGUUUCCGAUUACCUGCGGCAACCUUGGCUACUCGCUCCAUUUUGUUGGCGGUUCGAUUGAGCUGUUGCCGGCGAAUUACGGCAAACUGCGCUGUACUUAGACAUCUGUUUGUGCUUCCAUCUUUCGUGAACAUGCAUGGAAAUGGAAGGCCGUGGCACAAGUGGCAGAGCAGAGAGUCUAUUGGGUUUGCGACCCGGAGGUUGCGUGUUGGAAUACCUAAGGAAUCGGUUCCUGGCAGGGCAAUCGCAGGCAGAGCCACAGAACAGUGUACUCCACUGGUGAUGUACUGUCAGCUUCUUCCAAUCGAAUUCUGGGAGGAAACCAUAUAGAAAAGCCAGCCCACUCUGAAGUGUGCGGCUCUUCCCCGUGGUCUCCACCCAUACCUGUUGAGGUGACCAGUCGGAAGGGACAAAACUGUGGGGCGCGUAAGCUUGACGGAGGAUUUUUCCAUUACGUAGUUGCUGCACCACACCUAAAAUAAAGCAUAAAUUUUGUGGGUAUACUUGAAGUAAAUGCAAUUACAAUGGAAAUAGUGGAAUCUAUGGCUUGUUACAGCGAUUACAUGGAACAUUUGAAAAAUUGCACAUUUGUUUAUCUUUUGGUAGCUUGCAUGUCAAAUAGCAUAAAAACAAUACAUUGAUUUGAAAAUUCAAUUUCAAAACAUCACCAAAUCCUUGAAAGAGUUGAGAAGCUUUCUGGAGUCAAAGAGGAAAAUAAUGUCUUGCUUACCAGUUUGAGUGAGAUCUCCCAUCUCACAAGGACUGUGGUUAGGUAAACGAGGGAGAGAGGCCAAAGUAGACUCCCAGUGCCCACGGCCUCCUAGGCCCAUGUGACUUAUGAAGGCUCCUAACAGAGGGUGUGAGGGAUUCCUAGGGAUGCAAUACAGAAAUUCAGUGCUCACUUUUAAAGGACAGGGUUAGAUGGAGUCAACUGAUUCGCUGUGGCACGUACAUCAGUUGCUCACAAAAGAGGCUUAUCGCAAUUAAAAUGCUGUAAAAUGUUUUUGCAGAGGGGAUGAUUUCAACUUCUCUUAAAUCAACAAUUUAAAUAUUUUUUUGAAAAAAAUACUUCUUACACACAUCUAUUCCCCAUCUCUAAAAUUCAAACAUAAACAAUAAGAAUUUUACAUAAAGUAAUGAAACUUUACAAUCGUGUUUUAUCAGUUAGCUAUUAAAUCAAUUUUGAGAACUAGUACAUUUUCAACAGUUUAAAAUUAAUCAUACAAUGUGUUUGUAUUAUUGGCAUGCUUUUUGCCCGCCACUAGAUGUCUUUCUAAUAAACACUAGUGGGAGGCAAUCCUUACUGGUACCAUAGGCUCCAAACAAAGGUUAAACAACAAGUGUUAUUACUUUAAAUCUACUAAUAACAAAAGACCCGCGUGUGCUCGGGUAUGCACGUGCGUACAGGCCAUACACAGCAAUGAGGGCAGAAAGAGGAGCAGUUGCUGAUUUGUUAGGAUAAAUGAUUGGAGAUUACAGUUCGGUUUAGCAGGAUCUACAUCUGUCUGAACAAAGAUAUAAAAAAAAAAAAAAAAAAAAAACGGGGCAUCUGCAGCAGGCACACAACUGUUUCAAUAGUGAUCACGGGUCGGAUCACGUACAUACAAUUAAAAACCUCAUAUCCUCUUUUAUUACUUUACAUCAGGCCCGCAAUCUGCACCAGCUCUUUUUAGAAGCACUUUUGAGAGCAUGAUUAUUAUAUUUGUAGCAAAGUAAAUUAUACAGUUCAUGUGAAUGUAUUGGGAGCAUUCUUUAUGAUUGCAGAGGAAAUAAUAAUAAUUUAAUCUUCAAAAGAUGAAUACAAAACAUCUAUCACGAUUUAACAUUAUAUUCCUCAUAAAUAGAUAACAUGUUUUGUAUGUUUAAAUUAUGAAACUUGUAAAUAUACACAUUCACUUUACAAGUUAAAACGAACUGGAUAAAUAUGGAAUAUAAAAUUCCAACUAAACUAUAUAUAACCGAAGGAAUUAUCAGCAGUUGUGUGGUCAACAUGACCUGCAAAUUGUCUCUUUGGCUUUUGAACCAGUCAAAGAUGACUAAAACCAAUUGUAUUAGUUAUUUUUUUGUUACUGGUUGGACCAGUACAAAAAGACAGUAAGGACUUAUGCUUUAUAAACAAGUACUGUAAAUACUUCAAUUGCUGAUGGGAGGACUGCAUGAUUGUAUUGGUGAGGCGAGGGCAAGAGAGUGGUUGCUAAGUGGCUCUGCAAACUGGUGCCAUUACAGACAAACCGCAUUGGGAUAAACUAGCACAGAUCAAUAGAUCACUAGAAUAGAUCAGUAAAAGAAUAACUCAAGACAUAGGUAGAUUUUUUUUGUUAUUCCCUUAGAAGAGUGGAAGAUGUUUAUACAAUUAAAUAACAUCAGAGACAGAAAUGUAAUUGUCAUACUUAGAAACAUUGCCCUUCACACAAACCUAUAAAUGACACUGCUGGCAAUGUAGCCAACCAACCUAGUAGAGCUGAAAAGAGUACUCGAGCAACUCGAGUAACUCGAGUUUAAAAACUGAUCCGAGUAAUUUUAUUCACCUCGAGUAAUCGUUUAUUUUGACAGCUCUAAGCAUCACGUUUUGCUCGGACUACUUUUAAUGCGGGACAACGCGCUGUCAUGUGCGGAGAGGAAGAAGGGAAAAAAAAAAACUUACUGCAGCCGACAGCCGCCACAAACGACGCCGACGUUGCUAAAUACUAGCCCGCACGAUGCUACGUUGGGACAGGUAGCGUCUGAUGCGUCUCAUAGAGAUCACAUGUAUGUUGAACUAGAUGGGAAAUGACAGACUCGGCUGCGUCUGGGCAGCGUUAGUAAACAGCCGCCAUCUUAAAGCAGUAGAGCGCUAAGCACUAAUAAAGAGCGCUAAGCGCUAAUAAAUAAGAUUAACGUUACUGUCGCUACUAGCUCACGUAACGUUAGCCCUGCGGAGGGCUAGGUUUCAAUUAAUUAUGACCACUGUCGAUGCGUGGCUAACGUGUCUUACAUACAGGCUUUAACAAAACAUAGCAUUGUGGAGUGAUGAGGGAGUAAAAUAAAAACUUAAUCAUGCUAACUAUCAAUUUUAGCUCAGUAGUCAUUGCUGGAUAAAACACCAAGUAGCACUGGUCCCUAAUGUGCUCCAAUACAGCCUGUAUCAUACAUUUAUUUUGAACACUGCAAAAACUCAAAAUCCUAUCAGGACUUACAGUUUAGACUAACUUAAAACUUAACUAGAACUUAAAAAUGGCUUGACACAAAGAGAAAUUCAAUUGAAACACGUGGGAAAAAAUCCUAACUUUUAAGUGAUGUGUGUUAUC